UUUUUGUUUUUGUUUUUGUCUAUAUCUAUAUUUAAUGCUUCAUGCAUAUACCGUAAGAUUCGAUGUAACGGAGAAUUUUGAAAAUUUUUUAGUAGCUUUUGGGAACUAAACAAGGCCUACGGCCUCCAAUAACACCUCGCACCCAUCAACAAUCGAUCGAGGGCCACACACGCGAACGGGACGGAUGACCCAACUCUGUCUCCAAAAAUUCGCC
RNAcentral lists this long non-coding RNA (214 nucleotides) under Sorghum bicolor (sorghum). RNAcentral describes it as "long non-coding RNA (SBIC_LNC018174)". Lineage: Eukaryota; Viridiplantae; Streptophyta; Magnoliopsida; Poales; Poaceae. The record is from RNAcentral.